CCAGACAGCCAGGAUGUUGGCUUAGAAGCAGCCAUCAUUUAAAGAAAGCGUAAUAGCUCACUGGUCGAGUCGGCCUGCGCGGAAGAUGUAACGGGGCUAAACCAUGCACCGAAGCUGCGGCAGCGACACUAUGUGUUGUUGGGUAGGGGAGCGUUCUGUAAGCCUGUGAAGGUGUACUGUGAGGUAUGCUGGAGGUAUCAGAAGUGCGAAUGCUGACAUAAGUAACGAUAAAGCGGGUGAAAAGCCCGCUCGCCGGAAGACCAAGGGUUCCUGUCCAACGUUAAUCGGGGCAGGGUGAGUCGACCCCUAAGGCGAGGCCGAAAGGCGUAGUCGAUGGGAAACAGGUUAAUAUUCCUGUACUUGGUGUUACUGCGAAGGGGGGACGGAGAAGGCUAUGUUGGCCGGGCGACGGUUGUCCCGGUUUAAGCGUGUAGGCUGAUUUUCCAGGUAAAUCCGGAAAAUCAAGGCUGAGGCGUGAUGACGAGGCACUACGGUGCUGAAGCAACAAAUGCCCUGCUUCCAGGAAAAGCCUCUAAGCAUCAGGUAACAUCAAAUCGUACCCCAAACCGACACAGGUGGUCAGGUAGAGAAUACCAAGGCGCUUGAGAGAACUCGGGUGAAGGAACUAGGCAAAAUGGUGCCGUAACUUCGGGAGAAGGCACGCUGAUACGUAGGUGAAGUCCCUUGCGGAUGGAGCUGAAAUCAGUCGAAGAUACCAGCUGGCUGCAACUGUUUAUUAAAAACACAGCACUGUGCAAACACGAAAGUGGACGUAUACGGUGUGACGCCUGCCCGGUGCCGGAAGGUUAAUUGAUGGGGUUAGCGGUAACGCGAAGCUCUUGAUCGAAGCCCCGGUAAACGGCGGCCGUAACUAUAACGGUCCUAAGGUAGCGAAAUUCCUUGUCGGGUAAGUUCCGACCUGCACGAAUGGCGUAAUGAUGGCCAGGCUGUCUCCACCCGAGACUCAGUGAAAUUGAACUCGCUGUGAAGAUGCAGUGUACCCGCGGCAAGACGGAAAGACCCCGUGAACCUUUACUAUAGCUUGACACUGAACAUUGAGCCUUGAUGUGUAGGAUAGGUGGGAGGCUUUGAAGUGUGGACGCCAGUCUGCAUGGAGCCGACCUUGAAAUACCACCCUUUAAUGUUUGAUGUUCUAACGUUGGCCCCUAAUCGGGGUUGCGGACAGUGUCUGGUGGGUAGUUUGACUGGGGCGGUCUCCUCCUAAAGAGUAACGGAGGAGCACGAAGGUUGGCUAAUCCUGGUCGGACAUCAGGAGGUUAGUGCAAUGGCAUAAGCCAGCUUGACUGCGAGCGUGACGGCGCGAGCAGGUGCGAAAGCAGGUCAUAGUGAUCCGGUGGUUCUGAAUGGAAGGGCCAUCGCUCAACGGAUAAAAGGUACUCCGGGGAUAACAGGCUGAUACCGCCCAAGAGUUCAUAUCGACGGCGGUGUUUGGCACCUCGAUGUCGGCUCAUCACAUCCUGGGGCUGAAGUAGGUCCCAAGGGUAUGGCUGUUCGCCAUUUAAAGUGGUACGCGAGCUGGGUUUAGAACGUCGUGAGACAGUUCGGUCCCUAUCUGCCGUGGGCGCUGGAGAACUGAGGGGGGCUGCUCCUAGUACGAGAGGACCGGAGUGGACGCAUCACUGGUGUUCGGGUUGUCAUGCCAAUGGCACUGCCCGGUAGCUAAAUGCGGAAGAGAUAAGUGCUGAAAGCAUCUAAGCACGAAACUUGCCCCGAGAUGAGUUCUCCCUGACUCCCUGAGAGUCCUGAAGGAACGUUGAAGACGACGACGUUGAUAGGCCGGGUGUGUAAGCGCAGCGAUGCGUUGAGCUAACCGGUACUAAUGAACCGUGAGGCUUAACCUU
Molecule: ribosomal RNA, 1862 nt
Filed under: Escherichia coli
Lineage: Bacteria; Pseudomonadati; Pseudomonadota; Gammaproteobacteria; Enterobacterales; Enterobacteriaceae
Description: 23S ribosomal RNA
Rfam family: Bacterial large subunit ribosomal RNA
Source: RNAcentral